RNAcentral lists this ribosomal RNA (490 nucleotides) under uncultured bacterium. RNAcentral describes it as "partial 16S ribosomal RNA". It matches the Rfam family "Bacterial small subunit ribosomal RNA", at positions 28 to 507 of the family's 1533-position model. The record is from RNAcentral.
GAUGAACGCUCGCUACAGGCUUAACACAUGCAAGUCGAGGGGCAGCAUGGUCUUAGCUUGCUAAGGCCGAUGGCGACCGGCGCACGGGUGAGUAACACGUAUCCAACCUGCCGUCUACUCUUGGACAGCCUUCUGAAAGGAAGAUUAAUACAAGAUGGCAUCAUGAGUCCGCAUGUUCACAUGAUUAAAGGUAUUCCGGUAGACGAUGGGGAUGCGUUCCAUUAGAUAGUAGGCGGGGUAACGGCCCACCUAGUCUUCGAUGGAUAGGGGUUCUGAGAGGAAGGUCCCCCACAUUGGAACUGAGACACGGUCCAAACUCCUACGGGAGGCGGCAGUGAGGAAUAUUGGUCAAUGGGCGCAGGCCUGAACCAGCCAAGUAGCGUGAAGGAUGACUGCCCUAUGGGUUGUAAACUUCUUUUAUAAAGGAAUAAAGUCGGGUAUGUAUACCCGUUUGCAUGUACUUUAUGAAUAAGGAUCGGCUAACUCCGUG